UACAGUCAUAUCAUGUUGAAACACCAGUUCCCAUACCAUCACUAAAGUUAAGCAACAUUGAGCUUGGUCAGUACCUAAAUAGGUGACCACUUGGGAAUAUCAGGUGCUGUAAG
Molecule: non-coding RNA, 113 nt
Organism: Acanthosepion pharaonis
Lineage: Eukaryota; Metazoa; Mollusca; Cephalopoda; Sepiida; Sepiidae
Source: the annotation of a GenBank genome assembly